RNAcentral lists this ribosomal RNA (538 nucleotides) under uncultured bacterium. RNAcentral describes it as "bacterial SSU rRNA". It matches the Rfam family "Bacterial small subunit ribosomal RNA", at positions 772 to 1314 of the family's 1533-position model. The record is from RNAcentral.
ACUCAAUAGAUACCCGGGUAGUCCACGCCCUAAACGAUGUCUACUAGUUGUCGGGUCUUAAUUGACUUGGUAAACGCAGCUAAACGCGUGAAGUAGACCGCCUGGGGAGUACGGUCGCAAGAUUAAAACUCAAAGGAAUUGACGGGGACCCGCACAAGCGGUGGAUGAUGUGGAUUAAUUCGAUGCAACGCGAAAAACCUUACCUACCCUUGACAUGGAUGGAAUCCCUGAGAGAUUGGGGAGUGCCCGAAAGGGAACCAUUACACAGGUGCUGCAUGGCUGUCGUCAGCUCGUGUCGUGAGAUGUUGGGUUAAGUCCCGCAACGAGCGCAACCCUUGUCAUUAGUUGCUACGAAAGGGCACUCUAAUGAGACUGCCGGUGACAAACCGGAGGAAGGUGGGGAUGACGUCAAGUCCUCAUGGCCCUUAUGGGUAGGGCUUCACACGUCAUACAAUGGUACAUACAGAGGGCCGCCAACCCGCGAGGGGGAGCUAAUCCCAGAAAGUGUAUCGUAGUCCGGAUUGUAGUCUGCAACUCG